GAUGAACGCUGGCGGCGUGCCUAAUACAUGCAAGUCGAGCGAACAGACGAGGAGCUUGCUCCUCUGACGUUACCGGCGGACGGGUGAGUAACACGUGGAUAACCUACCUAUAAGACUGGGAUAACUUCGGGAAACCGGAGCUAAUACCGGAUAAUAUAUUGAACCGCAUGGUUCAAUAGUGAAAGACGGUUUUGCUGUCACUUAUAGAUGGAUCCGCGCCGCAUUAGCUAGUUGGUAAGGUAACGGCUUACCAAGGCAACGAUGCGUAGCCGACCUGAGAGGGUGAUCGGCCACACGGGAACUGAGACACGGUCCAGACUCCUACGGGAGGCAGCAGUAGGGAAUCUUCCGCAAUGGGCGAAAGCUUGACGGAGCAACGCCGCGUGAGUGAUGAAGGUCUUCGGAUCGUAAAACUCUGUUAUUAGGGAAGAACAAAUGUGUAAGUAACUAUGCACGUCUUGACGGUACCUAAUCAGAAAGCCACGGCUAACUACGUG
Molecule: ribosomal RNA, 497 nt
Filed under: uncultured bacterium
Lineage: Bacteria
Description: partial 16S ribosomal RNA
Rfam family: Bacterial small subunit ribosomal RNA
Source: RNAcentral